UUAAAUUGAAGAGUUUGAUCAUGGCUCAGAUUGAACGCUGGCGGCAGGCCUAACACAUGCAAGUCGAACGGUAACAGGAAGCAGCUUGCUGCUUUGCUGACGAGUGGCGGACGGGUGAGUAAUGUCUGGGAAACUGCCUGAUGGAGGGGGAUAACUACUGGAAACGGUGGCUAAUACCGCAUAACGUCGCAAGACCAAAGAGGGGGACCUUCGGGCCUCUUGCCAUCAGAUGUGCCCAGAUGGGAUUAGCUUGUUGGUGAGGUAACGGCUCACCAAGGCGACGAUCCCUAGCUGGUCUGAGAGGAUGACCAGCCACACUGGAACUGAGACACGGUCCAGACUCCUACGGGAGGCAGCAGUGGGGAAUAUUGCACAAUGGGCGCAAGCCUGAUGCAGCCAUGCCGCGUGUAUGAAGAAGGCCUUCGGGUUGUAAAGUACUUUCAGCGGGGAGGAAGGUGUUGUGGUUAAUAACCGCAGCAAUUGACGUUACCCGCAGAAGAAGCACCGGCUAACUCCGUGCCAGCAGCCGCGGUAAUACGGAGGGUGCAAGCGUUAAUCGGAAUUACUGGGCGUAAAGCGCACGCAGGCGGUCUGUCAAGUCGGAUGUGAAAUCCCCGGGCUCAACCUGGGAACUGCAUUCGAAACUGGCAGGCUUGAGUCUUGUAGAGGGGGGUAGAAUUCCAGGUGUAGCGGUGAAAUGCGUAGAGAUCUGGAGGAAUACCGGUGGCGAAGGCGGCCCCCUGGACAAAGACUGACGCUCAGGUGCGAAAGCGUGGGGAGCAAACAGGAUUAGAUACCCUGGUAGUCCACGCCGUAAACGAUGUCUACUUGGAGGUUGUGCCCUUGAGGCGUGGCUUCCGGAGCUAACGCGUUAAGUAGACCGCCUGGGGAGUACGGCCGCAAGGUUAAAACUCAAAUGAAUUGACGGGGGCCCGCACAAGCGGUGGAGCAUGUGGUUUAAUUCGAUGCAACGCGAAGAACCUUACCUGGUCUUGACAUCCACGGAAGAAUUCAGAGAUGGAUUUGUGCCUUCGGGAACCGUGAGACAGGUGCUGCAUGGCUGUCGUCAGCUCGUGUUGUGAAAUGUUGGGUUAAGUCCCGCAACGAGCGCAACCCUUAUCCUUUGUUGCCAGCGGUUAGGCCGGGAACUCAAAGGAGACUGCCAGUGAUAAACUGGAGGAAGGUGGGGAUGACGUCAAGUCAUCAUGGCCCUUACGACCAGGGCUACACACGUGCUACAAUGGCGCAUACAAAGAGAAGCGACCUCGCGAGAGCAAGCGGACCUCAUAAAGUGCGUCGUAGUCCGGAUUGGAGUCUGCAACUCGACUCCAUGAAGUCGGAAUCGCUAGUAAUCGUGGAUCAGAAUGCCACGGUGAAUACGUUCCCGGGCCUUGUACACACCGCCCGUCACACCAUGGGAGUGGGUUGCAAAAGAAGUAGGUAGCUUAACCUUCGGGAGGGCGCUUACCACUUUGUGAUUCAUGACUGGGGUGAAGUCGUAACAAGGUAACCGUAGGGGAACCUGCGGUUGGAUCACCUCCUUACCUUAAAGAAGC
Molecule: ribosomal RNA, 1556 nt
Filed under: Salmonella enterica subsp. enterica serovar Senftenberg
Lineage: Bacteria; Pseudomonadati; Pseudomonadota; Gammaproteobacteria; Enterobacterales; Enterobacteriaceae
Description: bacterial SSU rRNA
Rfam family: Bacterial small subunit ribosomal RNA
Source: RNAcentral